AGAGUUUCUCUCAUGUCUGCAGUUUUUAAAAGUAACCAGCUGAAAAUAAUCCUCAUGCUAAAGAAACAUAUCUUGGAGUAGCCAAUUCCAGUCCCCCACACUAGCAUCCAUGAGAAGCCAGGGAGAGGAAAGAAGGAUUUUUUCUUAGAUAAUCCAGAGGGAGCAUGGCCUUGCCAACAUCUUGACUUCAGACUUCUAGUUUCCAGAACUAUAGCCCAGGAAAUGAUUCAACAGACAUCAAUUUAGUAUAAAUUAGGAUUGAAUGCCAAAAGGAUUAGGAGGGAACAGAGAGAUCGGAGGACAAGGAAAUUACAGAAUUGAAUAUUUGAUGAAAGCUAAUUUCUUAAGGAAUUCUACUCACUGUUGCUGAUCCUGCCUCAUUUCCUGUCUUCAUCUUUCCCUGCUUCCACAUGGCGGGAUCUGCCAGUUCCCCAGCUAUCCAUCUCACAACCAUACCUGACCAGUUUGAAGGCAGCAUGAGCUCUAUAAUUUGCUACAAUUCAUAAACAGAAGAGAGAAGGGGAGGGAAAGCCAGUGUAUAAUAUGCAAGGCAUUAAGAUCAAUUUCUCUGUAUCCAGUGUGACCUUGCCUCAGAGCUUAGCUCGUUUUGGAGCUGUCCUUGGUGCUUACCUCAGAUCUGGAACUCAAUUUUCAGGACUGAUCCAGCCUGCAGUUUCCUCAUAAUGAGGAGUCUAUUUUUCAUGAACCAGGUGCCUCUCUGCCCACCUUGGAACCCUGCCACUAUCCCUACAUGGACUUGCAGGAAAAUAUGCCAAUUCCACCUUCCCUUGCUCUCCUCUGCUAUGUUUUUCUCUCUCACUCUCUCCAUAAUUCUUCCUCAGUACAGUUUUCUUGGCAUAUCUCCCUACUUAGACAUACAUCCAAACAGUAAUUUCUAUGAUGAGUGUAAGUGGUUGGUAUGGCAAGAAAAAACACAGAGCUGGAUGUUAGAAAUCCUGGAUUUUAGAUUUUAGUUAUGGCUCUAAUAUUAACGAGCCCUGUGACUUGACUAAGUCAUGCAAAAUCUCAGAAAUCUGCUUUUCCAUUUAUAAAGUUGAGAUAAUCACAUAAUCUCUAUAUUACCACAGAGGGUAGUUGUAAGGCUCACGUAAGAUGAUAAUAUGUGAAAACUCUGGAAAAUAAAUGCAAUUAUCCAUAUUUGCAAGGUAUUUCAUGUUUUGGUUAAAAUGAUCAAUAAUUACUAUGACCUUUCUUGGCAUCUUUAAUUCCUAAAUCCUAUGAGAUGGAAAAUGAAGCUUUAAUAUUAUUUUAGAUAAAAUUAUUUCUUCAUCUAGUAAAUUAAUGAAUACUGAAAUGGAGCUAUGGUGCGCUGACGGCUUUGAAGUUUAGAGCUAUAUUAUUAGGACUAGGAAAUACGAUAAGAAGAAAGUGAGAGGAUAUCAGGUAUUGCAAACUAGUUUUCGUUUUUUCCCAAGAAAAAGACAUUUAUGUUUCAGGAAUAUACCCACUGUGUGGGUGUAGGG
RNAcentral lists this long non-coding RNA (1484 nucleotides) under Equus asinus (donkey). Its description in RNAcentral is "lncRNA (ENSEASG00005034909.1)". Lineage: Eukaryota; Metazoa; Chordata; Mammalia; Perissodactyla; Equidae. The record is from RNAcentral.